GACGAACGCUGGCGGCGUGCUUAACACAUGCAAGUCGAACGGAAAGGCCCUGCUUUUGUGGGGUGCUCGAGUGGCGAACGGGUGAGUAACACGUGAGUAACCUGCCCUUGACUGUGGGAUAACUUCAGGAAACUGGGGCUAAUAUCGGAUAGGAGCUCCUGCUGCAUGGUGGGGGUUGGAAAGUUUCGGCGGUUGGGGAUGGACUCGCGGCUUAUCAGCUUGUUGGUGGGGUAGUGGCUUACCAAGGCUUUGACGGGUAGCCGGCCUGAGAGGGUGACCGGCCACAUUGGGACUGAGAUACGGCCCAGACUCCUACGGGAGGCAGCAGUGGGGAAUAUUGCACAAUGGGCGGAAGCCUGAUGCAGCAACGCCGCGUGCGGGAUGACGGCCUUCGGGUUGUAAACCGCUUUCGCCUGUGACGAAGCGUGAGUGACGGUAAUGGGUAAAGAAGCACCGGCUAACUACGUG
Molecule: ribosomal RNA, 468 nt
Filed under: uncultured bacterium
Lineage: Bacteria
Description: partial 16S ribosomal RNA
Rfam family: Bacterial small subunit ribosomal RNA
Source: RNAcentral